Molecule: ribosomal RNA, 600 nt
Filed under: uncultured bacterium
Lineage: Bacteria
Description: partial 16S ribosomal RNA
Rfam family: Bacterial small subunit ribosomal RNA
Source: RNAcentral
UGGGGAAUAUUGGACAAUGGGCGAAAGCCUGAUCCAGCCAUGCCGCGUGUGUGAAGAAGGUCUUCGGAUUGUAAAGCACUUUAAGUUGGGAGGAAGGGCAGUAAGCUAAUACCUUGCUGUUUUGACGUUACCGACAGAAUAAGCACCGGCUAACUUCGUGCCAGCAGCCGCGGUAAUACGAAGGGUGCAAGCGUUAAUCGGAAUUACUGGGCGUAAAAGCGCGCGUAGGUGGUUCGUUAAGUUGGAUGUGAAAGCCCCGGGCUCAACCUGGGAACUGCAUCCAAAACUGGCGAGCUAGAGUACGGUAGAGGGUGGUGGAAUUUCCUGUGUAGCGGUGAAAAUGCGUAGAUAUAGGAAGGAACACCAGUGGCGAAGGCGACCACCUGGACUGAUACUGACACUGAGGUGCGAAAAGCGUGGGGAGCAAAACAGGAUUAGAUACCCUGGUAGUCCACGCCGUAAAACGAUGUCAACUAGCCGUUGGGUUCCUUGAGAACUUAGUGGCGCAGCUAAACGCAUUAAAGUUGACCGCCUGGGGGAGUACGGUCCGCAAAGGUUAAAAACUCAAAAGGAAAUUGACGGGGUCAUAGCUGUUUCCUG